AUGGUAGGAUAGAGGCCUACCAUGGUGGUAACGGGUAACGGGGUGUUAGGGCACGACACCGGAGAGGGAGCCUGAGAAACGGCUACCACAUCCAAGGAAGGCAGCAGGCGCGCAAAUUACCCAGUCCCGACACGGGGAGGUAGUGACAAUAAAUAACAAUACAGGGUUCUUUGAAUCUUGUAAUUGGAAUGAGUACAAUUUAAAUCUCUUAACGAGGAACAAUUGGAGGGCAAGUCUGGUGCCAGCAGCCGCGGUAAUUCCAGCUCCAAUAGCGUAUAUNAAAGUUGUUGCAGUUAAAAAGCUCGUAGUUGAAUUUCGGGAUCAAUACGUCGGUCGUGCUUUCGGGUACGUACUGGCGUCAUUGGUUUCUCCUUUCUGACGAACCAUGAUGUCAUUAAUUUGGUGUUAUGGGGAGUUAGGACUGUUACUUUGAAAAAAUUAGAGUGUUUAAAGCAGGCAUUAGCUUGAAUACAUUAGCAUGGAAUAAUGAAAUAGGACGUUCGAUCCUAUUUUGUUGGUUUCUAGGAUCAACGUAAUGAUUAAUAGGGAUAGUUGGGGGCAUUAGUAUUCAAUUGUCAGAGGUGAAAUUCUUGGAUUUAUUGAAGACUAACUACUGCGAAAGCAUUUGCCAAGGAUGUUUUCAUUAAUCAAGAACGAAAGUUAGGGGAUCGAAGACGAUCAGAUACCGUCGUAGUCUUAACCAUAAACUAUGCCGACUAGGGAUCGGAUGAUGUUAAUUUUUUAAUGACUCAUUCGGCGCCUUACGGGAAACCAAAGUGUUUGGG
Molecule: ribosomal RNA, 785 nt
Filed under: uncultured Glomus
Lineage: Eukaryota; Fungi; Glomeromycota; Glomeromycetes; Glomerales; Glomeraceae
Description: SSU rRNA
Rfam family: Eukaryotic small subunit ribosomal RNA
Source: RNAcentral